CUCUUCUCCUCCACCAAGCUCACACAGAAUGGUAGGUCUCUUCUCCUCCACCAAGCUCACACAGAAUGGUAGGUCUCUUCUCCUCCACCAAGCUCACACAGAAUGGUAGGUCUCUUCUCCUCCACCAAGCUCACACAGAAUGGUAGGUCUCUUCUCCUCCACCAAGCUCACACAGAAUGGUAGGUCUCUUCUCCUCCACCAAGCUCACACAGAAUGGUAGGUCUCUUCUCCUCCACCAAGCUCACACAGAAUGGUAGGUCUCUUCUCCUCCACCAAGCUCACACAGAAUGGUAGGUCUCUUCUCCUCCACCAAGCUCACACAGAAUGGUAGGUCUCUUCUCCUCCACCAAGCUCACACAGAAUGGUAGGUCUCUUCUCCUCCACCAAGCUCACACAGAAUGGUAGGUCUCUUCUCCUCCACCAAGCUCACACAGAAUGGUAGGUCUCUUCUCCUCCACCAAGCUCACACAGAAUGGUAGGUCUCUUCUCCUCCACCAAGCUCACACAGAAUGGUAGGUCUCUUCUCCUCCACCAAGCUCACACAGAAUGGUAGGUCUCUUCUCCUCCACCAAGCUCACACAGAAUGGUAGGUCUCUUCUCCUCCACCAAGCUCACACAGAAUGGUGGGUCUCUUCUCCUCCACCAAGCUCACACAGAAUGGUGGGUCUCUUCUCCUCCACCAAG
Molecule: long non-coding RNA, 684 nt
Organism: Oncorhynchus keta (chum salmon)
Lineage: Eukaryota; Metazoa; Chordata; Actinopteri; Salmoniformes; Salmonidae
Exons: 3
Source: RefSeq, a predicted model, not a curated record